Non-coding RNA from Heterocephalus glaber (naked mole-rat), 3017 nucleotides. The record is from RefSeq and is a predicted model, not a curated record. NCBI's taxonomy places the organism in Eukaryota, Metazoa, Chordata, Mammalia, Rodentia, Bathyergidae.
CCUAAAUCUCAGAGAAGACUUGGAACUUGGACUUUUCAGCAAUGCUGAGACUGUUAGGACUUCAGCAACUCUUGGAGUAUGAAGAUCUCUGAUGAGGAAGAACAGCUGUGAAGAUGCUGUGUUGGUCAGAAAAAAUGAGUAACAUGAGGACAGCAAGCAGAAAGCACAUCUUUCAGGACUGGAGGCUAAUGGCAAAAUGGUGAAAGAGACAAAUUCCUAGGAGCUUCUGUGACCUGCCAAAAGGUCACACUUCUGGUUAAUAGAAAAUCGAUUACUUUUCUUGAUGAAAGUUGGAGGAAGGCAAUGGUAAAGCAUAAGAAUAAACUGGCAAAGAAACUCUGGAGAACUCAGAGUUUAUAUUUCCCACGCUUUGGAAAAUUCAGUGGCCUUCAAGAAUGGAGCUAAAAGAGUGGCGAUGAUGAGUCUGAAACUGUUCAGGAGCACUAGAAAGAGAAAGCAAGGGUACUCCUUCCAAAGAGGAGUUCUGAAGAUGAUGACUAGUGCACAGGACCUAAAACAUCUUCAAUCACCUUCCCCUGCCAAGGACUGUAUGAGUUGAAACUAAGAAAGAAAGGAGAGCGAGCUCUACAAAGAGCUCAGACAGAAAAGCCAAGACUUCUUCUAGCUCCAGAGCCUUGUGCUCAACAACCACUAUGACACUCAAGUGAAGAAAGCUCCCAUUAGAGAAAAGUUUGUGAGAUGCCAGGAAGGAGCUACAGAUGUCAUGGGAUAAAGGGUGUCCUGGAACAAAUACCCCACAGAGACCGAAGAACAACUGUACACCUAUACACCAAUCGGCUGCUAACUAAGGCUUUGCCAAGGUAUUUUCUGAGAAAGGAACUGUGAAACACUUUUGGUGAGUUUUAAGCAAGCCAGCUUUCCUCUCUCCCCCUCACCUCCAUAUCCAACAAUGGGCAAUUUCUCUCUUAGACUCGCACUACUAGUCCUACAUCAAAACUGUUCUUUACCUCCUUUUCCAGUUCCUCUAGUGGAAAAAAACUCUCUAAUCAUAUUUCCUUACUCCCACUCCAGCAAAGCACUGUUCCCAUAUCCAGGCCACCAAGAGUGUCCAAGAGAACUGUCCCCCAUCUCUUCCACUACCUGCUCUACUACUGUCCACUACUGAUCACCACUCCUUCUGUGACUCUCUUUCACAAACACAUGCACUCACAUUCCAUAGUGAAAUAGGAAAUUGAAGUAACAACUAAAUCUCCAUCAGAGAUCAAUACCAUCGAUUAAAACAUUUCACUGGACAUGAGGCACCAGGAAGACAUGAGGAUCCUCUUUCUCUUCUCCUAAAAGUAUACACACUCCCCCUCUGUCAGUCUCUGGGAUUCCAUUUUACUGGCAGCUGUAGAUUACCCACAAGCAUCAACCCCUAUGCAACGAGAGCCCACAGCUGGAAAGAAGCUAAAACAGAAAACAUGCCAACCACUGAUUGAAGAGAGAGGCUGCUUCCCACCUCUGAGUCCUGAUCUUCUAUGGAGAACCUCCCAACCCACUCUCAGCACCGUUUCAUGUGCUUGGAAGUAAGGUUGACAAUGAAGACAGAAGUUAAAACCAGGAUGAAAGACAUGAGAGGAAGCAGAGGAAACCCUGGCCAGACAACAUGUAGGGAAGGUAGACAGAGUCACCUUUUCUAUGAAGUCACUCUUCAUCUGGGAAAGGUUCUCAGACCAUGGACAAAGGAGAGAAGCAACUGCCAAUGGCAACCAAAGUCCACUGCUUCAAAUCCAACUUCAGUUUGAUUGGCUUAGAGGGAUGGAAGUAGAGGAGGAGCCAGGACCCAGUUACUUGUGUCUGAUGCAUUCACUUAACAAUCAUCAUGCAUUAUACUCAUAUAACUUUUCAACCUUUCUAAGGGCUGUACAGCAUCAUCUCAUCACUACUUGUUCUCACUGCAAUGCUUGAGGUAAAUGACAAUGUCCUCAGGCAGAUAAGAACUCCCUGCAGUGGUGCUGCCUCUUCCACCAGCCUCAGCACCUUGGAGAUCAAAAGACUUUCAUCAGAGAACAGAAAUGUGAUCUUCCUGAUAUAAAGCCGCAAAUUCACUCAGCCUUCAAGGAUGGGCCAUAGAAAUUCUACAAUUACACAUCUCUUACCUGAGGACAGGGGUGCCUUACAGACCAGCAAUGCCCAAGAAAACAUUCUGUGACAACAGAAGUGCACGUUUUCUCUGUCCAGUUGGGAACUGUAUCACAGCAGGUGUCCCAGGGCAAGAGCCACAUAGGGAAGAAGAAAUGUGAGCUAUCACCAUCACCAACUGCUACCAGUCUCCCCCUUAAUGAUUUCACAAGGGGCCACAGUGUCAAGAGCACAGGGCAGGACCCAACCUAAGGAAGCCGAGGGCCCAGGCUCAUUAGGCCCUGCUGGGAUACAGAGGUCAUACUCUUGUCCCAUACCUCACCCUCAUCUUCACCUGUCCAGCCACCUAUUUGGGAAGCCCCAAAUUUGGAUGUUCAAAACAAAAAAAUCUGUUUUUCUCAUGUUAUUAGCCAAGGGCUAAUAACAGUUACAAAUGGAGUUGUAAGUUUCCAUUUCUCCUAAAGUCUGACUCUUCAGUUCAUGAAAGUUUUUAAAACUCCAAAAAAAAAAAGAAAGAAACUAUCAGUGAUGCAAAGGAAUAUAGGGUUGAUGGAUUUCAGAGAAAAAGGUACCCCAAAGAGCACCCUCCAUUUUACAGAUAUAAGAGAAGUGCAGAGAGGUAUUGUGAAAAGGACAAGGUCAGUACCAAAGCAGAGUGGGAACCCAAACUCCUUCCAUAACACUAAGCUGCUUCUCGAUCAUGACUCAAGUAAAAAUCACCAUCCUAAUUUCUGAACUUGGCAUUUUUCACAAUAUGAAAUAUAUAGUAAAAGGUCACUUAAUUAUAGAACUUUUGCAAAAGAGAACCAAGAGAUGGAGGGAGGAGAAGAGACGGGGAUAAAAAAGAAUUAAGAUGUGUUAUGUACAUGUAGCAACUCCCCAUGAUAAAUGUAAUCAUUAUGUACUGCAAAUAUGGACUAAUAAAAAAUAUG